AUUUAUUCAAUAAAAAAUCUAACUUCCAAUCUUCUUAAAAGCCAGACUGUAAAGAAUUGCUUAGAAUGUUACAUAAACAAAGAUUUGUUUAUUGUAACUUUGGAUUCAUGAGCUGGGCCUUCCAGUUAAACAACAAGUUGUUGCUCUGUAGGAAACACAUACUGUGAUAUUUAAAAAUUUAGAACAGAAUGUUUUGAAACUGAAAAAUAAUUAUCAUGUAGUUCAAAGCAAUCAAAUUUGGAUUGCAUCAGUAUAUUCUUUGGGGAAAGCAUUAUCAUAAAAAACUGUAUUGCAAAAAGGUAAUGGUUAUUUUUAAUAUGCAAUUAAUUUUCUACGAAUGUGCAGCUUGUGUACGCAGAUCUUUGCAUUUCACGGAACAAGAGCAACAGAAACGCAAAGAUCUACGUACACAUAAACUUCAAAAACAUAGAUCAAGGGCUAAUGUAUAGCAUUUGAAGAGAGCUGCUUCUGGAAUUUUGUCGGUCGUACUGAUAUUGUCUUAUUAAACGAAAGAGAAGCACAGACAUACCAUCAUCGGAACCUAGGAUUCCAUGUAGCGAAACAUACUGCAGCUCAUUUUCCAGUCAAGCCGUUAAUGUCAGUCGAAAGUUCCAAGUCCUAGUAUAUCUCAUGUAUGCUGAUGAAUUUGGCAUUGUAACUGCGUACCAAGAUGCUGCGCUUGAUUUAAAACGCAAUAUCAACUGUCUCCAUUGCUGCAAUUUUUGACAAGUAGAAACGCAAAUGUUUUUCUCAAUGCAGUGGUCACUCAUACUGCACGCCAAUUUGUCAGAAACUCGAUUGGCAACAACAUGGAAGGAUAGUGUCACGAUAUUCAAGAAGAUCCUGUUCUUUGAUGGAAAAAUCGUGCUGUCAAUGAACUAAGCAGUGUGGUGACGGGCCGGUGUGUAGCUGUAUUGCUCUCACGGUAAGACUUCACUUAUUGAUUACUAGUAAAAUAGCAUAGAAUAUUGGGAAUUCUAUUUGUAUGCGCAUUAGCUCGUGCUAAAAAAAACUCGUAGCGAUAAAAGAAAGCAGGCGAAUUUUUAAAAUAUGC
Molecule: long non-coding RNA, 1054 nt
Organism: Daphnia magna
Lineage: Eukaryota; Metazoa; Arthropoda; Branchiopoda; Diplostraca; Daphniidae
Exons: 4
Source: RefSeq, a predicted model, not a curated record